RNAcentral lists this ribosomal RNA (489 nucleotides) under uncultured bacterium. RNAcentral's name for it is "partial 16S ribosomal RNA". It matches the Rfam family "Bacterial small subunit ribosomal RNA", at positions 31 to 507 of the family's 1533-position model. The record is from RNAcentral.
GAACGCUGGCGGUAGGCCUAACACAUGCAAGUCGAACGGCAGCACAGUAAGAGCUUGCUCUUACGGGUGGCGAGUGGCGGACGGGUGAGGAAUACAUCGGAAUCUACUUUUUCGUGGGGGAUAACGUAGGGAAACUUACGCUAAUACCGCAUACGACCUACGGGUGAAAGCAGGGGAUCUUCGGGCCUUGCGCGAUUGAAUGAGCCGAUGUCGGAUUAGCUAGUUGGCGGGGUAAAGGCCCACCAAGGCGACGAUCCGUAGCUGGUCUGAGAGGAUGAUCAGCCACACUGGAACUGAGACACGGUCCAGACUCCUACGGGAGGCAGCAGUGGGGAAUAUUGGACAAUGGGCGCAAGCCUGAUCCAGCCAUACCGCGUGGGUGAAGAAGGCCUUCGGGUUGUAAAGCCCUUUUGUUGGGAAAGAAAAGCAGCAGGUUAAUACCCCGCUGUUCUGACGGUACCCAAAGAAUAAGCACCGGCUAACUUCGUG